RNAcentral lists this long non-coding RNA (357 nucleotides) under Equus caballus (horse). Its description in RNAcentral is "lncRNA (ENSECAG00000058051.1)". The record is from RNAcentral. Lineage: Eukaryota; Metazoa; Chordata; Mammalia; Perissodactyla; Equidae.
GAGCACCAGAGGAAGUCGUCGCCGCACCUGGCAGCCUUUCCAUCCUGGGGAAGAAGGGCCACGUCCCGGGCCAUGUCAGGCAGGAGGCCCACAGGAGCCAGCCCUUGCGUGGACCACUGGAUGGAGCCACCACCACAGAAGGGAGAUCUCGUUAUACCAUUCAUUGUCAGAUCAUCUCCCAGGAGCCUCAUUCCUGGGCCCGGGAGGCAGCAUGCUGGUCCAGAUGGGCAAAGCCAGCUGGUCCGCCCUAUCCAAGCCUGUGGCUUCCCUAAGUAGCUGCUACCACCUGCCUGGACUCCUGCUGACAAGACACCAGCCACAGUGCAGACAGGACAGCUCACACCUGGAGCAUCGCAC